AACGCACAUUGCGCCCACUAGUAUUCUGGUGGGCAUGCCUGUUCGAGCGUCAUUUCAACCCUUAAGCCUAGCUUAGUGUUGGGAAUCUACCCGGCCCCUCUAGGGGGGCCUCGUAGUUCCUCAAAUCCACCGGCGGAGUGACGGUAUCCUCUGAGCGUAGUAGCUUUGUUUCUCGCUUUUGUAGGUGCCGCGGCCCCUGCCGCUAAACCCCCAACUUUUUUUAUUUGGUUGACCUCGGAUCAGGUAGGAAUACCCGCUGAACUUAA
This 266-nucleotide unclassified non-coding RNA is filed under the name uncultured Xylariales. RNAcentral's name for it is "sequence contains 5.8S rRNA gene, ITS2, 28S rRNA gene". The record is from RNAcentral. Lineage: Eukaryota; Fungi; Ascomycota; Sordariomycetes; Xylariales.